ACAUGUGACAAGAUCACCUGGAAAGCGCCUGAUCUCAUCAGAUCUCGGAAGCUAAGCAAGGUCGAGCCUGGAUACCGCUCGGAUGGGUGAUCAGUCUGUACAAAUAAGUUGUCGUAGGCC
RNAcentral lists this ribosomal RNA (120 nucleotides) under Petromyzon marinus (sea lamprey). Lineage: Eukaryota; Metazoa; Chordata; Hyperoartia; Petromyzontiformes; Petromyzontidae. The record is from RNAcentral.